GUGCUAAAGAGAUGGAAAUGAAGAAAACAAAACCACAAAAAACUCAAAAUGAAGAUAGCAUCUGGCUACAUGGACAAAAUUGGUGAGACAGUUGUUUGGCCGCAGAUAGAAGAAUUGUUGAUAUUGGAGAUAAUUCUCAUUAUUUUCCAAGUGUGAUUUCAAGCUUUGGUGUUGCAUCUGAACGUUCCCUAAUACUGUGUGUCCAUCUGAUAGUCAGGAGAUACUCAUAUAUCAUUAUGAAUGAACGAGAAUUCCACUUUGUGGUAUUGGUAUAAUAUCCUUGAAAAAAUCCUCUGAAGUUUGAAACUUCUUGUUCCUCUGGACCAUGUAUUAUGGAGCUAAUAAGAAACCCAAGAUUUCAUCUUGGAAUGUGAGUAUCCUUGGAACAUGGAAAGCAUGUGGACUUAGAAUUCCUGUUUUUGUCCUCAGUAUUUAUCAAACAAACAAAGACAACCUCAAAAACCAACCAACCAACCAAAAAAACCAACAACAAAACCCAAACAAGCAAAAUAAGAAUAGAACUGUUACUCAUAUGCUAACUAGAUCAGUUUGUGUUUUAGUUUAACCUUUUUCCAAAUGAGAGAAAAAAAAUCCUACCUUUAUUUCUGAUAGGCAGCAAAAGUGUACAUGUAAUCUGGAAUUACAGGACAUAAUUCCUGUGUUAACACUGGAUUUACCACUGUGUUGUAUGUUGAGGGAAACAGGUUCUACCUUGUUGCUCUUACGGACUGGGGGACAAAGAGGAGACUCCUCAUUAACUCUGAUGUCUCAUCCUCCAGUCUUAUUUUAAAAGGUUGUU
Long non-coding RNA from Numida meleagris (helmeted guineafowl), 799 nucleotides. RefSeq lists it as uncharacterized. The record is from RefSeq and is a predicted model, not a curated record. NCBI's taxonomy places the organism in Eukaryota, Metazoa, Chordata, Aves, Galliformes, Numididae. The transcript is spliced from 5 exons.